CAUGGCAAUGCCAAAUGGUAUGCUGACCUAAACAUGCCUAUCUAUUCUGGAUACUCUCCUGGAGAUUUUCAUUUAACACAUUUCACAUUAGAGCUGAGGUAGGAAUGAAAAAUUCUUUGGCACAAGUCAGGGACACAGAUGAGUGCAUUUCUCACUUUUUUGGUCCUUAGCAUGGUAAUAUUUUAUUUCAUGUUAAAGACACCCAGAUGAGACAUGACAACAGCGACAAGCAGCAAUGUGAGCCCAGCAGUACAAAGAUUUCCCCUCGCCUCCGCCAAGCAGAACCCUUUGGGCUUGUUCUGAAGUGUGACUCUGUUACACGCAGAGGUUAGCAAUAGCUUUCCUCCUGUUUUUAUGUUUGUUAUUUUUCUAACCUCUUCGAUCUCACUUUGCUGAAACAGAGGAAAUGAGGUAAAUUGGUCCUAACGGCGGCCAGGAAUUGCUGUCCUACCACUGAUGUGGGGUUUAAAGGUGCUGUGGGAGUGGAACAGUAAAUCUCCGGAGCACAAAUUUCUUGCGAUAACACUAAAUCUACCCAGUAUUUAUUGCUAAGAUACAAAGUGUUAUGGCAACAUGAAGAAAAACAUGUUAUAAGGUUUUCCUUUAAGGCAUAAAGAACCACAAAGCUCUGCAUGCUGCUGCCUCCAGUUCAGCACAGACAUGGUGAUGUUUCAGUAACACAACUACACGCUCACAUGCUCUUCUUCGUUCCUUUGAGAAUGCACACAUGACAUCAGGCUUUGGUUUUCAGUACUCAUCAAGUGGAGAUAUAAGCCUGUGAUAGGGACUGGGAUACUCUGCAGAUUUACAUCAUGCAGUUCCUUGGCUCUGCAUUACAUCUUUGUUUCAAACAGAAGCCUGGGAGCACCACACUGUAUGGCUGUGGUGAUGGCAGGGUACAACGGAGCAUGGAAGUGUAGCUAGAAAGCUUUUCCAUAAGUUAACAAGAACUAAAGCCAAUGAAAAAUGGCAAACGUUUUACGUAAAUAUGAGGAUGGGACUAGUAUUGCACAGGCUAGUAUUUCCAAAACCAUAACCUAUUAGAAACAAUUACUAAGUACGUAGACACAAAUGCAUAUACAAACACACAGACACGAAUAAUCCCAUGCUUAUACAGAGUAUUUCAACUUAAGAUCAGUGUGCUUCUACGCAAUUUGCAAGUGUUGUCUUGCCUCCACUAUGGGUGCGUAAACCAAUCCUUUCAGUCUUUGCCAUUAUCCUAUUUUUGAUAAAUAUUUCUAUUGUGUAUCUUAAGUGUAAGUAUUAAUUUACAUGAGAAACAGAUGUCUCCCCUUUGCAAACGUCACUGUGGGGAGAGAAGGACUUUCACAGUAACUGCUUUUAAGAUAUUUUUCAUGACUUUAACUUCACUGUUGUAAAGUAGUUGUUUCUGUAGAAGGUAAUUUCUAUAAUUCCAUUGGAUUCAUAUUAAUUCACUGUGCCAUUCCUAAAACCAUAAAGAUUAUUUUGUUGAGCAAAUCUCAUCCCUGUGUCCAUUCCUAAGCAUAACAAUAUAUUUCAGCAGUGCUUCCACUCCUUUAGAUGUUUUUAAUACUGGAUAAGGAGAUUUGCAGGAUGUAAGCUUUACAGCCUGUGAAGUUCUCACAUCUCCAGGUGGAAUUGCUUAACAGUUAGCAAAAAAAAAAAAAAAAAAAAAAGAAAGAAAGAAAGAAAAAAAAGAAAACUUUAAAAGAGAGAGAAGGGAAGAAUUGUGGUGAAGUUGUUGCUCCACAGAAGGGAAAUCAGUAAAACUCCAAGAAGUGUGAGACAGGUGAAGUGCUUUUUACUGGCUAAACUCAAUGGAAUGAAUGCUUUGAGUUUCAGUGAUGCCUAAAGGCUGUACUGAGUUACUGUGUGUAAGAAACAGAGUCCCUGCCCCCUUGCAGUGUUGGGCUCUCUUUGGGAGAAUGAUGAGGAGCAUUCAUAAAUAAUAACAUGAAGCUAGGCACAUGUGCAAAGAUAAAUAACACAUACAGACAGACAGGGCAGAGAAUAGCUCAUACCAGAAAUAGGCAUAGCACCCAUGGGAUUGGGGAAAUGUCAUGUGGAAUCCUUGAUCUCAGCUUAUAAAUAAGCCAGGUUCAAGAAACAGGUAGAUCCAAACUGAGAUUCUCCAGCUGGAUCUGUUAGUUCAGUGCAUGCCUAUACUCACACCGUAGCAUUUGGGUGCCAACUAUGGACAUACUAAAUCUUAGAGAGAGAAGAGGGCCUGUGAGUGGAGAGCUCACUUUCUGAUUUACCAAAGCGCAUCCCCCAAAGACCUGAUGUGAUCAGAUCCCACAGGAGGCCUCAGGCCCAUUGUUGGAAGCCUUCACCCAAGCACAGCAGCACAGACCAAGUACCUGGAGGACUGAGAGCAGCCUCUGCUGCCCCUUCAGGCUACCAGCUUUUUUCAAAGCCCAACACCUUCCCCAAACUCACUGCCUCCAGCACAGCUCCCACUGGCCAUGGCCUGGCGCACCCCCAGACCCGUCCUUACCUCCCAGCACAUAGAUGGGAGUUUGCAGGGAGGGCAGCAUGAUGCCAAACCACAGGGUGGGGCAAGGAUAACAUCUGCACCACUGCUGCAGUGCUCAACAGCAUCACUGAGUAACGGCUGUUGUAUUGCACCUUUGGGUUAUCAACACAGCACCCAUUGGGAGGGCACAAAUGCUGCACAGCACUGGGCUGGUGCUCAGUCUUUCUUGUGCUUUAAAGAAACUGAAUCAAAAUCCAAGAGUAAAAACUCAGCUUCUGCUCUUAUAAACUGCCAGCUUCUGAAAUUUCACAGGCAAACAGUAUUAAAAUAAAUAAAACCGAAAUUGUACGGUUUCUAAGAGCCCAUACCAUUGUUAAUGUCAGUACCAGAGAGCGUUUGCCUUUUGCAGAGUUAUAGGAAGGUUUGGUUUGGCUGAACUCUCAUUGUCUGGUCAUUUCUCGCUUCCCUAGCAAGAAUAUAAAUGGUUUCUAUUUAGAGGAGAUUACAGGUAGCCAUAAAUUAUCACCUAGUGUGGGCUGCUCGCUGGCCCAAGCACCUUGCCAGCGCCUCACAUCACCAGGAGCCAAUGCCUUGCUGGUACAACGUGCCAAGUCUUGGUCCACGUAAACUCAGUUUCUGACAUGUGUUAUGUUGAUCACAGGGAAGAAAUGGAGAGACCUAGCUAGGGAAGAAUGAAGCAUUUUUUCCCCCUCUAUCAUAGGUACUUUUCACAUGACUGCAUUCCUGCAUGACCACAUCAUCUUUUUAAAAAAUAUCUUAGCUUCCUUGCUGCCCGUCCCCAAAUAUCAGCUAUGACCAGGCAGCUGAGAUUGUCUGUGUUAUCAGCCUCCAGAACUGGGACAUGUAGAACAAGCUUAAUUAUCACCUGCACGUUAUUGUUAAUUGUGGGGCUUUGCCUUCCAGGCUCACGGAGAUAUUGAUUACCACAUUUACAUUUCUGACUCAAAGAAGUGAGCUGACGCAAAAUGCUAUCAUGGGCAGAGGUGCACACAAGGUUCUUCCAAAGCAUACACUCACCUAAUGCUCUUGGUAUAAACCUAUUUAAAUGCAGUGCAUGUGAUAUACAUGAAUACACCGAUCUUCUGCAGUGAAUUAAGGGAACUACUUCAAAAGCACAGCCUAAUUAAGCAUCUUAACCCUCCUGAGUGAAUAUAAAAUCAUCCUUGUUUUGCUGUCAAGUGCUACAAAGUUAAUUAAAUGGCAAGAGUCAGACAGUGACUUAAAACACGGUGAAGAAAAGAGGUCCAAAGACUGAGUUCCGGUCCCAGCUGAUAGGAAGUUCUCCCCUAAGCCAUACAAAUCAGAGGAUCCUGCAGACCUCAUUUUGUAAUGGAGAGAUGAUUGAACUGCAAGAUGUCGUUUUGCUAUAGGAAGCAUCAAACAGUUUGGGUAUUAAAAAACAGUACCAAGGAUCAAAGAACACUUUGUAUUCCAAACCUCAAUAACUCAGAAAAUCAAUUAAAACAAAACAAAACAAAACAAAAAAAAAAGUGACCAAAGCUCCAAGAACCUGAUCAGAGGUAAUGCAAUAAUGGAUGUACUUGGAUGUGCUUGCUGCUUCUGAAGGGUUCUGCCCUUUUGCUCCCUUUACCAGGUACCAAAACAAUCAGAAAGAAGUAAAUGGCUAUUACUAGAUGUGAAACUGAUGUUUGAAAUAAAUACUGAGCUGGAGGGCAGUCACUGAAACGAUCCUGUCAGAAGACCCACUGAGAAACACAGAAAUGAGUGGUCGUUGUAUUAGUGACAUCAUUUCUUUUGCAAGUCACAGUACAAACCAAGAGUUUGGUGUGGGCUAAAGAAACACUGCUGCUCCAGUUGCUGUGUACAGCACCACUCCUCAGAGGAAGCAUGUAGAUUCCAUUUAUUGUACAAUCCCCAUUCAACUGAGCUAAUUAAGUCAAUUAUGUUAAAAAAACAGGCGAGACUUGAGGCUGAGGAACAGUGGGACCUACACACAGACCCACUUCUGCAGCAACAGCUCCUGAGCUGCUCAGUGCCCGCCAGCCCCCCACCUCGCAGCAGCACAGCCGCCUGUUCACAGCCGCUAUCACGGGGCACCUCGUGGCCUGCAGCACCGCUCAUCCAGCGGGGACACGCACAGCACAGGGACAGGAGGAGCUCGCUGCAAAGGACAUUUUCAAGCUACAAUGACUCAAAAGUACUUUCAGGAAUGUUGGGAACUGAAGAAAAGUCCAUAUGCUCUAUUUUUUCCAAGUGCAUGCACACGCCAGAGCAGAGCAGUGUAUCUCAGCAUAAAGCCCUGCACACAAAAAGGAUACAGCAGCCAAAUUCCGCCCUCUACCACAGUGUUAAUAAUAGUUAUUAUUACUGAGCUCCCUUCACUAUCCUGGGUGGUUCUCAGAAAACAAUGGCACAGUCUCUGCCUUGAAAUGGUAAUGUUCCACAGAGACAUGAUACAACAGGAGCGAAAUGGAAGAGGUGGGUGGGGAGGGAGCAGGAGGACAACCGUGGCAGCAAUGGGAUCACUCGUUCCAUCCCGUGACUAUCUUGAUGCUCCCACUGAGUGAUUUAAUUAACGACUUAGAUGAGGGCAUAGAGCAGCAAGGCGUGGCAGAGCGCUUCGUAGCAAUAGCCGGGAAGGCAGACAGACGGGUGAAAGGAAAGCCAACAGUUCCCGAAGGCUGGAACUGAGGAAAUGCGGAUGGAUUUUGCUUUAUGACACAACCUGUGGUUGAGACACUACAGUGCCUCACUCACACAUGGGUUUUGGGUGUCUGGCAAAGUGAGAGCACGCCAGAGCCCAGGCAUCAGUGGUGCCUCCCUCAUUGGUGCGGCUCCUUUGUAUUGUGAAACCUGCAGUUAAAGACAGCGAGCCUUGAGCCUGUCCCACCUUCCUACUGCCUCCAGCAUCACUUGGCUCAAAGCAUCACGUAAGAAUGGAGCGCAUACAAAUGAAAACACAGCGGUCCUUACUAUAGAUCAUCUUUCUGUUCCAUAUAAUGUGUGCUAACUUCUACCUACAAGCUCAUGGGACAGCUGAAGAAGACAGCAAGCUUUACGCAGAGGAAGGUAAAUGAGGUCUUGUUUCCCUUGAAAAGAUAUUUUGAUUUAAAAAGGAAAAUCUAUCAAGUUUUCACGGGGAAACACAAAUUCUAAAACAAAUAAAAAUUGUCUAUGAAACCCCUUGUUUGGGCUGAAAAGGCACUUCUUUAUCUGCGGAGGUUUUCCUGCCUUGGUCGUUGUUCAUGACCGUCACCUGCCGCCCUCCAGCGAAGAAAAGCUCAUGUUUCACCCUCCUGAGCAGCAUUGCCCACGUGAGUAGGGAACAGCUCGUGCUCCCCCAGAGUGACACUGCCCUCACUGCCCUCCUGCAACCAGAGCUCACCUGGCAGAGCCCACCAGGGCCAGGCUGAGCCCAACAAACAAGCACUGCGCCCAGCAGCCCCACGUGCCCCCGCCCCGACCUCGCACACCACGUUUCACUGAAUAAGCAAAGUGAUGUCAGGAACCAGGAAGCUUUUUUCUGGCUCGGCUUGUUUGUUGGCCUUGUGUACUCCCCAGGUGCAGAGGUGAGCAUGAGGUAAUCAUACCUAGUGAAUGUGAGGCUUAGGCUAUAGGAAACCAGCAGAAUUUAUGUAAUUUUGGCAUGCAGCAGCUUUCUUCUCUGUAAACCUAGCAGUGAGCAGCAGACUAGACUGCAGAACAGAGUGUGCACUAUAUUAUGCCCAGAUCUUCCUCACUGCACCAGAGCCUCAAUCAGGGCAAUGGGCUCUGAGCUCAGGCACCCACCAUCAGGUCCCCACACUGCUCAGGUACUCCCAUCCCCCUGGGGCUCCCUGGUCUACAGAGGAAAAAGGGAUGGAACUGAAACUCGGUUUAUUUGCUGCCAGACUCUCAGCUCUGUCUUUGGAGUACAUUUCCCAAAGGAUGCUUUGAAGAGAAUAAAAAAAGGAUGGUUAGAGAUAAGAAGAAUUAUUUAAGCGAUUAGCACAGGCUCAAGGGAGAGGAGGAGAGAGGGAAUGACCGAUCUCUUCUUUAUUAUGUGGCUUCUAAUUUGCCUGAGUGAUCGAAGGCUUUUGAGACAGGAGCAAAAUUAACAAUAAAUCCCCAAGCUAGGCACAGCUCAUCUGCAAGUGACAAUGCUCCUGAGACAGAAGGACUCCCUUCUCCACGGCAUUUGGUUUUGCAAACCCAGCUGGUAAUACCCUGCAUGGCUCCCAUCAAGCUUGGAAGUUAGCUCUGAGCAGAUGGUUCAUCCGGAUGCCUACAGAUCUUUCCAAACCCAUUUUUUCUAUGAGUCUGCAAGCACUGAGCCUUUCAGACGUGGUGUUAAGGCCACGGCUGCUCCUUGAAGCUGCUUUAAUUUACGCUUUCAUUUAUUGCGGUGGAAGCGUUCCUGACUUCUGCUGAACCGCUUCCCGUUUUGACUUAUGCUCACGUGCAGAGGACAGAAUUUCCUCAGGGCUGGCCCCAAAUCACAGACCUGCCAGAGAAGAAGACGACCUUGGAUCUGAUUUCUGUGUGAAAUUCAUCACCGAGAAACACUUCUCCAUGGUCAUUUCUUUACAGAGUCAGGCAGACAGAGAAGAGCCCAGUCCUUCUGAGGC
Molecule: long non-coding RNA, 7047 nt
Filed under: Gallus gallus (chicken)
Lineage: Eukaryota; Metazoa; Chordata; Aves; Galliformes; Phasianidae
Description: lncRNA (ENSGALG00010020583.1)
Source: RNAcentral